GGGAGCGGAUGUGGUCUGGUGGCUGCCGUCGUCUUCAAAACGGCUGUGACCCGACGCUGUCGGGUUGGGUGGGUUCGAUUCCCGCACGCUCCCGCCA
This 97-nucleotide transfer RNA is filed under the name Gemmatimonadaceae bacterium. RNAcentral describes it as "tRNA-Sec". It matches the Rfam family "Selenocysteine transfer RNA". The record is from RNAcentral. RNAcentral also lists the same sequence under 1 other name. Lineage: Bacteria; Pseudomonadati; Gemmatimonadota; Gemmatimonadia; Gemmatimonadales; Gemmatimonadaceae.